AAAUUAAUGUUAUAUUUCAGGAAAAAUCAGGGAAUUUGAUUUUGAAACUCAAGAUAAAACUGAAAAUACUUUGUGUUGUACCAUUUAAUAGGUUUAUCAAUCGGAUAAUUUGUUGAAUGUUGAUCAAAUAUUGUAUUCCGCUAUUGAAAUGUUGAAUGUGAAAUCAGGGUAAUGUAUCUGAAGGCUGCUAUACGUUCGAUAAAUAGGUUCGACUGUAAUUGUGUAAACCGUCCAAAUCAAAACGUGUAUGGUAUAUUCACUUAUUUUAAACAUGUGUUCAUAGUAAUACGUAUAUCAUAAAAAUUAAUGUUUACCCAAUGAGUCCUCAUAUAUAAGACCAAAGAGAAAUUGGUGGUCAAAGGAAAGGUUACUAACAGGUAUAGUCGAAUUUAGGGGCAGAGGGGUGUUCAAGGGAGACAUGGCUUCCGGGCACCCACACUCUGGGGGCCACAAAAGUUUAUUGCUCAUCAUGACUCAUAACUGAUCACAAAUAAUUGAAAACACAACAAAAGUCGCAAAAUUCGUGAAAACUAACACAAACCUUUCUCAAACGUAUGUUUUUGUAUAACAUAUUCCUUUAUUGAAAUGUCGAUAACUUGAAAACGUGGCUCUAACAAGUUUCUUGACCCCGGGCCACCACAAUCCUAAAUCUGGCCUUGCUACAGGUUUCAUGAUGUUUCAUCCCUUUUUAAGCAAUCAAGAGCCAUUUGAAAGCGAUUCCGACGGGUAAGGAAGAGAACGUGCUCAGGUUUGGAUUCAUGAGUUUGAGAUGACUUUAAGACAGGGGCGUAGCUAUGCACUAUGGUUGGAAUCGUGAAAUUUCAUGACAAAAAUCUGUAAGUCGGAAACCAUAGAUGCUAGAGAUUUCUUGUCUUCUAGAAAGUUACUCUACUAAGAGGAAUCUAUUUUUUGGUAUGACUGGUUACAAGGGUGGUCCUAUUGUACUCAUAAAAAAAAUUGUAACUUUUUUAUCUUACUACUUAGAGCAACAUUGUCUUGCACAAAAUUGUAGCUAAUUUAAUUUCAUGCUACAUAAUCUUGUGUUCGUCACCUGUAGGCACGUUGAGCGUUUUUUUCUUUAUCGUUUUGUUUUGAUCCGUGAAGAGAUAUUUGCUGUGUGAUGCUUUUCUUAAUUUGUUGCGCACCAAGCUAAAUCAAAGCACCUAGCCCGAGUGCGUGUGGGCUAUGGAGCUAGAGCUACAAUUAAGCUCUGCUUGAGAUGCUGUGCGUAGUUUACCAAGUUUGAUUAGGAAUUUUGUAACAUUUUUUUAAAUAUAACCUCGUUUUUUCAAUAAAGAUUGAUGAUUAUGCUUCCUGGAACGACGGAAAGUAUCAAAAUAGUGUCUUGAUUAUAUUUCACUGUAUUUUCUGGCUGAAGGCUCAAAAAUAUAAAGCAAUUUAAACCUCAUAUUACAGGAAAUAUUUACCAGUACGCAUGCUUUCUAUAAAGGAAAUAAACAAAUCCGAGUAAUUGCAACUGUUGCAGGUAAAAAAAAACUCACGGCAUGUGCUUUUGAAACUAUUAAACAGAACAUUAUUUUGCUGCUUCAUUACAUUAAAUUUCAUUUCAUUGAAAUCAUGACAUUUAAUUUCAAAAACAACACAAAUAUGUAACUUUAGAAAAACACCAACGAAGAGAUAUCAGCUCUGUGGUUAUUUUUUCUAAUAAUUUUUAGAUAAAACCCUUCAAAACACAAAUAAAUCAAAUUUUUGAGCAAGAACUGAAAUUUUCAUUGCGAAGCGGGAUUUACCACGAAAAUUUACAUUAAAAAAGAUACUUGAUAUCUUAUCGGGGAGCUGAGAUAUUGGCAUUUUUCUAUGGAUGAAAAACUAUGCAUUUUAACAAAUAUGUUAAAUAACUGUUUUAUUUUGGGAGAUAAAAAAUAACAAUGUUCAGGAAACAAAUGCAUUUUUGGAUGGCUGAUAACUUAGUAGAAGGUUUCAAAAUUUGGAAAAAUAUGCGAAAAAAGUUAGAACGAAAAUUGUGAUUAUUAGUACCUUCUAAUAAAAAACUCAAUGUUGCUCGUAAUAUGUAAGAGAUAGAAACAUGAUGUAUUCGGUAAAGUUUCUUGUUUUAAGAUAACUUGAAACUUUGUCGAAGACACCUUGCGUCUAUCUUAUUCUGAUUAAAAAGUAAAUUUUUAUCUCACUUAUUGGUGGAUUGAUCACCCUUCAUUCUACAUUAAAAGAUGCAUUUUUGAAUAUCCUGAAACUUCUCCGAACAUUCCUCAUGGCUAUAAUCAACUUUUGAAUCACUAUUUAGAAAAUUAUACGCACAAACGGCAAAAUAAAACACUGUGCAAUGAAGAUAUUGAGCUUUAGUGGCAUUUUUGACAAAAUGCAUAGUUUUCCAUCACAUGUAAAAACGCCGAUAUCUCAGCCCCCCGAUAAGAUAUCAAGGAUCUUUUUUCAUGCAAAUUUUCGUCUUGAACUCCGCUUUGCAUUAAAAAUUUCAGUUCUUGAUAAAAAAAGUUUUAUAUGUGUUUUGAAGGGUUUUAUCUGAAAAUUAUAAAGAAAAUUCACUUUUUUGUGAUGUUCAGUGGGCUCUGUGAGUCAAAUAAUUGAAUGCGAUGCUGAACCAAACCAUGCAAAAUAUUCAAAAACAACCCCACAAAAAUAAAAAAAAUAUAUGGAAAAAUUUAGGAAUUGAACAGAUUUGAAAAAUAAAUGCAAAAGAGUGGUUUUGUAGCUUGAAAAAGUCAUUUUUUCUAAAUCACUUUUGGGCAACCUGAAAACGACCUUCUAGAAAGUCGAAAUGUUCUACAAAAACGCUAUAAAUAACAUUAUCUUUCAAUUUAGGGAUGAGCAGCUUGACUUCGAUUUUUUUUUUGGGACAGCCUAGUGUCCAGUUUCCGGAGAAGUAGACGUACCUUCGCCGCAUCAUUCAGCUGGCCUGCAUCGUUCUCGAAGAGCUUCUGGUAGCGGUUAAACCAGCGUCCGAACGUAACUCCGUUUUCUUCGUAGAAGACAAACUCGGUGAUGUUCGAUGAGAGGAACUCCAAAAUCUGCUCCGGGAUUUGAUACUGAGGCUGCUGCUGCUGGGUCGCCAUCUGCUGUAAAAGUUGGGCCAUCUUGAGAAUCAUAUCUUGAAUUCCCGGUUGCGGCUGCUGAUCAACUCUAUCUUCUGCCAUGUUCGUGGAUUCUUGAGAUAAUCGUCGCCAAAAUGAUAUGUCCAAUGGUUUAAGGAGUUUUUACUAAAAAACAUUUAUUUAUAUUCGAGGUUGGACAUAACAACUUUUCCACUCUGAUGUCAACUCUGGAACAACUUUUCACUGGUCUACUUGUCCUAUUGUGAACCCCUGUCCACAAAACGUUUAUUACACCCGAGUCCUUCAAAGGAAAAAGGAGAUGGAAAAGCAGCUUGAAUAUUAUAGGACACAAACAGCGUUGGCGGACGUGAAACUGAAUCCUGUUUUCAAGUCACAAGAUCCAGAUUGCCAACCGAAAUACGAAAAAUUUAUGGAAAAUUCCGACUUUAUGAUUACUGAUGAAAACGCCGGCAAACCAAUCGACAGCGAACACCCAGCAAUUUUUGGAAAUAAAUUAUACAACUUCGUGCCAAAAACUAUGGAAGAUUCAGAUCAAUCUACAAUAAUCGGGAAGGAAACCAUUUUUCAGUUGGAACAGUCUGGUUACGAUGACAAAUAUAAUUGUUAAAUGUAUUAACAGUGUAUAUCGAAUUUAUAUUUAUGUAUAUCUGUUUAUUAUUACUGUCGAAAGGUUUCAAAUUAAAUUACAUACGGUCGGCAACCAUCAGUUAACUCUCUCGAUACCUGCUAUUUAAUGGAAUGAAACUCGUAUGGAUGUGUUUUUUUUUUGUGUGGAAAAGCGUCGUUCAUGUAUAGUUAACAGGACCUGAACGUUGUUAAUAAAUUUCAAUAAGAACA
Molecule: long non-coding RNA, 3887 nt
Organism: Wyeomyia smithii (pitcher-plant mosquito)
Lineage: Eukaryota; Metazoa; Arthropoda; Insecta; Diptera; Culicidae
Exons: 3
Source: RefSeq, a predicted model, not a curated record